Molecule: microRNA precursor, 78 nt
Filed under: Ornithorhynchus anatinus (platypus)
Lineage: Eukaryota; Metazoa; Chordata; Mammalia; Monotremata; Ornithorhynchidae
Description: mir-103/107 microRNA precursor family
Rfam family: mir-103/107 microRNA precursor family
About the family: This family consists of the mammalian microRNA (miRNA) precursors mir-103 and mir107.
Source: Rfam by way of RNAcentral
CUUUGCUUUCAGCUUCUUUACAGUGUUGCCUUGUGGCAUGGAGUUCAAGCAGCAUUGUACAGGGCUAUCAAAGCCUAG